CCUACGGGAGGCAGCAGGGAGGAAUAUUGGUCAAUGGGCGCGAGCCGGAACCAGCCAAGUAGCGUGAAGGAUGACUGCCCUACGGGUUGUAAACUUCUUUUAUAAAGGAAUAAAGUGAGGCACGUGUGCCUUUUUGUAUGUACGUUAUGAAUAAGGAUCGGCUAACUCCGUGCCAGCAGCCGCGGUAAUACGGAGGAUCCGAGCGUUAUCCGGAUUUAUUGGGGUUAAAGGGAGCGUAGAGGGGUUGUUAAGUCAGUUGUGAAAGUUUGCGGCUCAACCGUAAAAUUGCAAUUGAUACUGGCAGUCUUGCGUUCAGUUGAGGUCGUCGGCAUUCGUUGUGUAGCGG
This 346-nucleotide ribosomal RNA is filed under the name uncultured bacterium. RNAcentral's name for it is "partial 16S ribosomal RNA". It matches the Rfam family "Bacterial small subunit ribosomal RNA", at positions 338 to 681 of the family's 1533-position model. The record is from RNAcentral.